GGGCGUCUCUUUCUCGUUACGAGUGGAGGCGCACCUGUAGCGCACUCGCUGAUACCCGAAAGAUGGUGAACUAUGCCUGGCCAGGACGAAGCCAGGGGAAACCCUGGUGGAGGUCCGCAGCGAUUCUGACGUGCAAAUCGAUCGUCGGAGCUGGGUAUAGGGGCGAAAGACCAAUCGAACCAUCUAGUAGCUGGUUCCCUCUGAAGUUUCCCUCAGGAUAGCUUGCGCUCGGUUGAGACGAGUCUCAUCCGGUAGAGCGAAUGAUUAGAGGCCUUGGGGUCGAAACGACCUCAACCUAUUCUCAAACUCCAAAUAGAUGAGAUCCCCGGCUUGCUUGAAAGUGAAGCCGCGGGAAUCGGAUCAGAGUGCAAAGUGGGCCAAUUUU
This 385-nucleotide ribosomal RNA is filed under the name Cimex adjunctus. RNAcentral describes it as "eukaryotic LSU rRNA". It matches the Rfam family "Eukaryotic large subunit ribosomal RNA", at positions 763 to 1138 of the family's 3401-position model. The record is from RNAcentral. Lineage: Eukaryota; Metazoa; Arthropoda; Insecta; Hemiptera; Cimicidae.